CAGUAAUAAUCAAAGAAAAAAAAAAUCAAUGUUUCCAAAAAUCAUAUCACCAAGUAAGAUUAAAAUUAUGUUUGUUAUGCCAUUUAAAAUCUUCAAACGCGUCUUAAAAAAUGGGCCUAGAGCUAAAUGUAUGUAUAUUUCAUUCUCAUCUCAAAUUGCUGCGUCUUCUCUUCCUCCUGGCUGCCACAGUAAGCCGUCUUCCCCCUAAACUCAAUCAGAAAGGUUUAGAGGGCUGAUUAGAUUAACAUAAGCAGCUGGGAGUAGUUAAUGGUCUUUGCUGGUGUUGAUAAGUAACACUGACUAAUUGGCCCGGUCCAGCCGCAGAGAGCCGACACCGGCUCACAGGAACAGACUGUGGCGUCUGAGACAAACAGCGCUGGAGCAGCACCGUGUGUGAGAUGCUGAGGCUUGGAUGCGAUGAAGAGCCACUGGAUGUUCUUCGCCAAGACACGGACUUUUUACUGAAGGACGGACGGGAUUUGAUGAUACUUUAGCUUCCUGAUCAGCAUCAACAUGAAUCGGCACGCCUUCGCGCCCCUCCCAGCCAGACCCCCGGCCUAUGCACCGAUGGGAUACCAGGGCAGAAAUUUCGGCCUGCAGCCUCCCGGACAAACACAGAGGCCGUACUUUGACAGUGCCUUUCACCGAGCAGCACAGAAGUCCUCCACAUCUCCAAUAAAAAGAAGCAGCAGUUGUCUACAUGUCGAUAUUGCAUGGAGGAUUUAUUACCACAAACUAAAGAAAAUGCAUCAAAAAUCCCAGUCUUCCUCAGGAGACGGUGAUGAAAUUUCCAAUCACAAACCUGCUAGACUCAGAACAGCCUGAAGAACCCCAGCCCUCCUGCACACGCCCAUAUUUAGACUCUGCGUUUAGAAGCACAGCAGGAAGAGAAAAAGCAAUAAAUGCCGGCCAUAACCCGAGUGAUCAACCAGAACCUCACCCAUCAUCUGCACCUGCUUUCCACCACCCGAAUGAGAAAGCGGAUCUGGGGAGACCCAAGAGCUGCCAAACUAACCCGACGAGCGGCUCCCUCGACAGGAAGCGGCACCUGGAGGGCCGCAGCUCCGGCGGCGUGAAGAGGCUGACGCGGGAAACGGAAGACGAGUGGCCUGACCCUUCUUUAUUCACCGCACCUUGUACAGACCCUUCCACACGCAGGAUGCAGGCGCAGCCAUCGAGCAUCAGCAGGCUGUACGCGUCCUGUCGCUGCAGAUGCGUCUCUUUCCCAGGUGCAGAGCUGCGUCCCUAUCAAACUGCAUCAUGGGAGCAAAGGUGGAGCCACAGAGUGGAUGUCCAUCUGAGGCAGAAAGCCUUCAAAGAGUAUUUCUGUGAGCAGUUUCCGCCUACGUUGGCACCUCAUGUUUAUUCUUCUCUGGACUGUUUACCUUCCAGACCAGAACACGCUCCCGCCGUUUCUGUCCCUGCUGUAGAGCAUAACUCUCAUUCUGGAUUUUUUCCUCUGGACUUUUAAAAACCUGAGAGCCGAUCGUUUCUACAACAGAGAAUGCUUAUAAUCCUUAAUCUGCUUUGUAAACGUUUUGAUGACAAAUGUCAUUCCUCUAAAAACCAGGUUUCUACAACGGUAUAUUAAGGCAAUAGAGCCAAAAAACUCACCUUUUUUUUAAAUAGUCAGAAAUUUUCUAGAAAAAGUUGGGAAUUUGCUACAAAACAAACUUGAAAAUUUCUG
Poecilia reticulata (guppy) is the source of this 1687-nucleotide non-coding RNA. Lineage: Eukaryota; Metazoa; Chordata; Actinopteri; Cyprinodontiformes; Poeciliidae. The record is from RefSeq and is a predicted model, not a curated record.